This 557-nucleotide ribosomal RNA is filed under the name uncultured Sphingobacteriales bacterium. Its description in RNAcentral is "bacterial SSU rRNA". It matches the Rfam family "Bacterial small subunit ribosomal RNA", at positions 338 to 896 of the family's 1533-position model. The record is from RNAcentral. Lineage: Bacteria; Pseudomonadati; Bacteroidota; Sphingobacteriia; Sphingobacteriales.
CCUACGGGAGGCAGCAGUAGGGAAUAUUGGUCAAUGGAUGGAAGUCUGAACCAGCCAUGCCGCGUGCAGGAAGACGGCCUUCUGGGUUGUAAACUGCUUUUGCCAGGGGAUAAAAGGCCCAUGCGUGGGACAUUGAAGGUACCUGGUGAAUAAGCCACGGCUAACUACGUGCCAGCAGCCGCGGUAAUACGUAGGUGGCGAGCGUUGUCCGGAUUUAUUGGGUUUAAAGGGUGCGUAGGCGUCCCUGCAAGUUUUAGGUGAAAUGCCCAAGCUCAACUUGGGAGCUGCCUGAAAAACUGCCGGGAUUGAGUACAGAUGAGGUAGGCGGAAUUGACGGUGUAGCGGUGAAAUGCAUAGAUAUCGUCAAGAACACCGAUAGCGAAGGCAGCUUACUAAGCUGUAACUGACGCUGAUGCACGAAAGUGUGGGGAUCAAACAGGAUUAGAUACCCUGGUAGUCCACACUGUAAACGUUGAUGACUCGCUGUUGGCGAUAUACAGUCAGCGGCCAAGCGAAAGCGAUAAGUCAUCCACCUGGGGAGUACGCCGGCAACGGUG